CGGUUAACUUACACCUGCCCCC
RNAcentral lists this microRNA (22 nucleotides) under Xenopus laevis (African clawed frog). Its description in RNAcentral is "xla-miR-449-3p". Its record names the gene xla-miR-449-3p. The record is from miRBase by way of RNAcentral. Lineage: Eukaryota; Metazoa; Chordata; Amphibia; Anura; Pipidae.